GCCAGCAGCCAUAUCACUCUGCAACUCACAACUGGCAACCCACUGAAGCUAAGCACACGUGAACCUGGUCAGUACCUGGAUGGGAGACCUCUUGGGAAAAACUAAGGUUGCUGCUGGAA
This 119-nucleotide ribosomal RNA is filed under the name Lepisosteus oculatus (spotted gar). Lineage: Eukaryota; Metazoa; Chordata; Actinopteri; Semionotiformes; Lepisosteidae. The record is from RNAcentral.